GGAACAAGAUGUCAUGGAGGGUGAGAACCCCGUCUGUGGCUCGGAUAUAAAUGAAGGGUGUGUCGUAUCUUCGAAGAGUCGGGUUGUUUGGGAAUGCAGCUCAAAAUGGGUGGUAAAUUUCAUCUAAGGCUAAAUAUUGGCGAGAGACCGAUAGCAAACAAGUAGAGUGAUCGAAAGAUGAAAAGUACUUUGAAAAGAGAGUGAAACAGUACGUGAAAUUGUUGAAAGGGAAGCGUUUGGCAUCAGCCCAUGGCACCCGUCGAUCAUCCAGGCUUCUGUCUGGUGCACUUGUCGGGUGUCGGGCCAGCGUCGACUUUGCCUGCUGGAUAAAGGCCUUGGGAAUGUGUCUCCCCUGGGAGAGUUACAGCCCUUGGUGUCAUGCAGUGUGGUGGGGUCGUGGUCCGCGGUUUAUCCUAGGACGCUGGCGUAAUGGUUCCAAGCGACCCGUCUUGAAACACGGACCAAGGAGUCUAACAUCUAUGCGAGUGUUUGGGUGUCAAGCCCGUCCGCGCAAUGAAAGUGAAUGCAGGCGGGAGCCUUUAGAGGGCGCACCGCCGA
RNAcentral lists this ribosomal RNA (558 nucleotides) under uncultured Archaeorhizomycetes. Its description in RNAcentral is "eukaryotic LSU rRNA". It matches the Rfam family "Eukaryotic large subunit ribosomal RNA", at positions 192 to 764 of the family's 3401-position model. Lineage: Eukaryota; Fungi; Ascomycota; Archaeorhizomycetes. The record is from RNAcentral.